AUGGGAAACAGGUUAAUAUUCCUGUACUUGGUGUUACUGCGAAGGGGGGACGGAGAAGGCUAUGUUGGCCGGGCGACGGUUGUCCCGGUUUAAGCGUGUAGGCUGGUUUUCCAGGCAAAUCCGGAAAAUCAAGGCUGAGGCGUGAUGACGAGGCACUACGGUGCUGAAGCAACAAAUGCCCUGCUUCCAGGAAAAGCCUCUAAGCAUCAGGUAACAUCAAAUCGUACCCCAAACCGACACAGGUGGUCAGGUAGAGAAUACCAAGGCGCUUGAGAGAACUCGGGUGAAGGAACUAGGCAAAAUGGUGCCGUAACUUCGGGAGAAGGCACGCUGAUAUGUAGGUGAAGCGACUUGCUCGUGGAGCUGAAAUCAGUCGAAGAUACCAGCUGGCUGCAACUGUUUAUUAAAAACACAGCACUGUGCAAACACGAAAGUGGACGUAUACGGUGUGACGCCUGCCCGGUGCCGGAAGGUUAAUUGAUGGGGUUAGCGCAAGCGAAGCUCUUGAUCGAAGCCCCGGUAAACGGCGGCCGUAACUAUAACGGUCCUAAGGUAGCGAAAUUCCUUGUCGGGUAAGUUCCGACCUGCACGAAUGGCGUAAUGAUGGCCAGGCUGUCUCCACCCGAGACUCAGUGAAAUUGAACUCGCUGUGAAGAUGCAGUGUACCCGCGGCAAGACGGAAAGACCCCGUGAACCUUUACUAUAGCUUGACACUGAACAUUGAGCCUUGAUGUGUAGGAUAGGUGGGAGGCUUUGAAGUGUGGACGCCAGUCUGCAUGGAGCCGACCUUGAAAUACCACCCUUUAAUGUUUGAUGUUCUAACGUUGACCCGUAAUCCGGGUUGCGGACAGUGUCUGGUGGGUAGUUUGACUGGGGCGGUCUCCUCCUAAAGAGUAACGGAGGAGCACGAAGGUUGGCUAAUCCUGGUCGGACAUCAGGAGGUUAGUGCAAUGGCAUAAGCCAGCUUGACUGCGAGCGUGACGGCGCGAGCAGGUGCGAAAGCAGGUCAUAGUGAUCCGGUGGUUCUGAAUGGAAGGGCCAUCGCUCAACGGAUAAAAGGUACUCCGGGGAUAACAGGCUGAUACCGCCCAAGAGUUCAUAUCGACGGCGGUGUUUGGCACCUCGAUGUCGGCUCAUCACAUCCUGGGGCUGAAGUAGGUCCCAAGGGUAUGGCUGUUCGCCAUUUAAAGUGGUACGCGAGCUGGGUUUAGAACGUCGUGAGACAGUUCGGUCCCUAUCUGCCGUGGGCGCUGGAGAACUGAGGGGGGCUGCUCCUAGUACGAGAGGACCGGAGUGGACGCAUCACUGGUGUUCGGGUUGUCAUGCCAAUGGCACUGCCCGGUAGCUAAAUGCGGAAGAGAUAAGUGCUGAAAGCAUCUAAGCACGAAACUUGCC
Molecule: ribosomal RNA, 1395 nt
Filed under: Escherichia coli
Lineage: Bacteria; Pseudomonadati; Pseudomonadota; Gammaproteobacteria; Enterobacterales; Enterobacteriaceae
Description: partial 23S ribosomal RNA
Rfam family: Bacterial large subunit ribosomal RNA
Source: RNAcentral